UACGAAGGGUGCAAGCGUUACUCGGAAUUACUGGGCGUAAAGCGUGCGUAGGUGGUGAGUUAAGUCUGUCGUGAAAGCCCCGGGCUCAACCUGGGAAUGGCGAUGGAUACUGGCUCGCUAGAGUGCGGUAGAGGAGAGUGGAAUUCCCGGCGUAGCAGUGAAAUGCGUAGAGAUCGGGAGGAACAUCAGUGGCGAAGGCGGCCAUCUGGAUCAACACUGACGCUGAGGCACGAAAGCGUGGGGAGCAAACAGG
RNAcentral lists this ribosomal RNA (253 nucleotides) under uncultured bacterium. RNAcentral describes it as "partial 16S ribosomal RNA". It matches the Rfam family "Bacterial small subunit ribosomal RNA", at positions 524 to 776 of the family's 1533-position model. The record is from RNAcentral.